CAUUAUAUCUAUAGACUCGCCUCAUUAAAGGUCUAAAUUAAAAUUAUUUUAUUACCGAAACAAUGAAAAUACUACACAUAUUAGUGAUAACGCUUCUUUUCUGUGUAAGCUUAUAUGAAGCACAUCCAAAACCUUUCACUUAUUCCGAAAGAAGGGAAUGUAGGCGCAUAUAUAUAGGAAAUGGUUCACACAACAAAAACAGUAUAUAUAUAGAUAACUGACGAAACCACUCAUCAUCAGAUAAGUUCUUAAAGCCACAAGAAAUGGUGAACAUGAUUGUUUGUAUUGUUGUACAAAUGCUGGAAACUAAUAUAUCAUUAAUAUCAUUAU
Zerene cesonia (dogface butterfly) is the source of this 330-nucleotide long non-coding RNA. RefSeq lists it as uncharacterized. The record is from RefSeq and is a predicted model, not a curated record. The transcript is spliced from 3 exons. NCBI's taxonomy places the organism in Eukaryota, Metazoa, Arthropoda, Insecta, Lepidoptera, Pieridae.